CUUCAUCUCCAUCAAGAUUUCAGUUUAUUCAUAUUGUUGAAAAACAUUUUAAGAUGAUUUUGUCCUUUUUUUUAACCACAAAUACAAUUUCCAUAACACUGGGGCACACAUUCGAUUGUGCAUUGUUUGUCACUAGUUUCUGAUCCUGAUUGGAAGUGGCAUUCGCAUAUCCCAAGUUCAAAAUCAAACGCCUGUUUUGCGAUGCAUUUUUGCGAGGCACACUCCGCAUCGCUCCGACACGCAGGUCCUUCAAAAAUAGUUAACAAUAAAACAUGUAAUAUAUAUAUAUAGAGAGAAAAGUUAAACAGAGAAUGCUAAAUAUUUAGAGAAUAGAGAAUUCGUGAAAUAAAAACGAACAGAUCUACAAUUUUUACGAACAGAUCAAUGUACCGCGUAAACAGCAAUUUUCCCUGGGUUCGAAUCCUGUUGGAGGCGAGUUUUUCUCUUUUUUUACUAAAUACGUCUGUUCGUUAGUUAUGUUAAUCUGUUCGUAAAAUGUAUAGACUUGUUCAAAAUGAAAUAUAUAAUAAUUCUCUGUUUAACUUGACCCUAUAUAUAUAUAUAUAUAUAUAUAUAUAUAUAUAUAUAUAUAUAUAUAUAUUAUUAGUAGUAUAUAUUAUUNAGUACAAUGAUUAAUGAACUGUUGUUAACUAAAUUGAUUCCUUGCUCAUCUCAUUAACUUCCUACAAAUAUAAGUAUGAAAAAGAAAACUAGUUAUUGCACGCCAAAGGCUCAAAUUGCUCUUUAUGCUAAGAGCCAGUGUAGAAGUAAAAUGUUUAUUCAAAAAUACUAGUAAUAUAUAUUAUCACAAAAAUUCAUGUGAAAUCGGCUUCACAAUGAUACUAUACUUCAACAUACAAAUGAUACUUUAUCAUUAUAAAGUGUCAUUUGUAUGUCGAAGUAGUAUCAUUGUAAAGCCGGUUUCACGGUGAAACCAGUUUCACAGGAGACCACCUCAUAUAUUAUACUUGAUUAUUCGGUCUUUGUGGUAUUCUUAAUACUAUUUUUGUUUUCUUUUUAGUAUAAAAAUGAUGUUUUAGUUACCAAUUUUCCUGAUAUACAAUUUUUCUUCAAAUUGUAGAUUCUUUGUCAAGAGAUUAAAAUAAAAAAUAAUCAUUGAAUGCGAUUUAAAUCAUUUGUUGGUUUCCUAUUUGUGUAAUCUAGAUUGCAAGAAUUUUGAUAGAACUCAUGGGAAUCUUUAAUGACAUGUAAUAACUAAUAUUUAUAAGUUCUUCCACAACUAUAUACAUUACUUGACUUGUUAGACAUACCAAAAUUGAUUUAAAGAUUUUUAUUAAGAAUCGAUUUAAACACAGUUUACUAAUAUUCAAAUUUGGUGGUCAUUUACAAUCACAGCCUCAUAUAUCAAAACCAUGUGAUCUGUAUAACUCCAAAAUGGGCAAAAUCUAGAUCAAUUUCACAAAUAUUCAUCAUGAACGAAAAUGGCAAAAUUUUGACAAAUUAAGUUCAUUGAUUAAUUUCAAAACCAUGCAUGUGACCUGUAAAGCUCCACAAUGUCCAAAAUUUAAAUCAUGUAUUUUGAUUCCUUUUAUUUUAUAUUAAUUUUUAAUAAUUGAAUAAUUAAUUUAUUACGAUUUCAUAAAGAAGUUAUUAAUUUUAUUUCAAUAAAAUUAUUUUAGGCCCAAUUACAUUUUUCUUCUACUCCACACAUUUUUUAGCAAAGAUAAAAUUGACCAUGAACAAAAUCACGAAAAAUAUUGGUACCCAUUUCAGCAUUCUCUCUUCUCUCAUCAUCAAUCUAAUGCCACAUCCCCACUCUUUCUCUCUCUCUAGAAUUUAAAUCUGAUAUCUUCUCUCUCGAUCGCCCCAUACUGAUUUUCUUGUUUCCCCUCUCUCUGUGAUGGAUGGCUGAAAAGCAACGUUGCCAUCUUGAUUACCUAUUUAGCUAUUUUAAAUUUAUUAGAAUUGACCAAUCACAUAUAUAGUAGUCACUUUAUUUCUUAUCAGUUUUCCCAUUUUCCAUUUUGUGAUUCUAAUGGGUAAUAUUGAUAUGAAAGUCUCUAUGCAUUCAUUCUUGAUGGAGACAAUCAGAUCCUCUUUGCAACCUUGUUUCCCCUCUCUCUGUCUGCACCAAACUUUCUUAUUAGGCCCCGUUUUUUAGGUUGGGCUUUGCUUAUAUUUAAAUGUAAACUGAUACAUCGACUGAUUUAUAAACUGAUUCAUAUCUAUAUUUCUGAAAAUCGACCCCACAAUCCAUAACCCUUCGCAUUUUCAUCUCAAAUUUGUACGUUGAUCGGUUUUUAUCUAUGUGGAAUUGGAAAUUCACACGGAGGAGGCCGAAAAUGACAUGGUGGCCGCUGGAAAUGACACGUGUCAAUUUCCGACGUCCACGUAGAUAAAAACCGAACACCGGAAAAAUUUGAUACGAAAAUGAAAGGUUAUGGUUGAUUUUCAAAAAUUGGUGCAAUUUCCAAAUUCUGGAAUACAUUGUGGAUUUAAGGCAAUUUGCCCCAAAAUUAAUCAUAUAUUAAAAAAAUGCAAAAAAUUAGUAACGCUUCAUCUCCAUCAAGAUUUCAGUUUAUUCAUAUUGUUGAAAAACAUUUUAAGAUGAUUUUGUCCUUUUUUUUAACCACAAAUACAAUUUCCAUAACACUGGGGCACACAUUCGAUUGUGCAUUGUUUGUCACUAGUUUCUGAUCCUGAUUAGAAGUGGCAUUCGCAUAUCCCAAGUUCAAAAUCAAACGCCUGUUUUGCGAUGCAUUUUUGCGAGGCACACUCCGCAUCGCUCCGACACGCAGGUCCUUCAAAAAUAGUUAACAAUAAAACAUGUAAUAUAUAUAUAUAUAUGGAAGGGCUAAAAUAAGAGCAUUUCUUAAGAUAUAAAAUAAGAAUCAUUUUCAGCCCUUAGAUCAUCAAGAUCUACGGUUGAAUACAACAUCAAAAAAAUUUAUUAAACUUACCAUAUUCGCUGAAGAUAUAUCUUUGCUCAUCGAGACAAAUGCAAACGCCAU
This 2972-nucleotide long non-coding RNA is filed under the name Salvia miltiorrhiza (redroot sage). RNAcentral's name for it is "long non-coding RNA (SMIL_LNC000461)". Lineage: Eukaryota; Viridiplantae; Streptophyta; Magnoliopsida; Lamiales; Lamiaceae. The record is from RNAcentral.